RNAcentral lists this transfer RNA (66 nucleotides) under Anadara pilula. Its description in RNAcentral is "tRNA-Tyr". Lineage: Eukaryota; Metazoa; Mollusca; Bivalvia; Arcoida; Arcidae. The record is from RNAcentral.
UGCUGGGGUGGCAGAAUAUGUGGUAGGUUGUAGCCCUUCUUAUGCGGUGAAUAUCGCUCCCAGUAA